AACGAACGCUGGCGGCAUGCCUAACACAUGCAAGUCGAACGAGACCUUCGGGUCUAGUGGCGCACGGGUGCGUAACGCGUGGGAACCUGCCCUUAGGUUCGGAAUAACUCCCCGAAAGGGGUGCUAAUACCGGAUAAUGUCUUCGGACCAAAGAUUUAUCGCCGUUGGAUGGGCCCGCGUUGGAUUAGCUAGUUGGUAGGGUAAAAGCCUACCAAGGCGACGAUCCAUAGCUGGUCUGAGAGGAUGAUCAGCCACACUGGGACUGAGACACGGCCCAGACUCCUACGGGAGGCAGCAGUGGGGAAUAUUGGACAAUGGGCGAAAGCCUGAUCCAGCAAUGCCGGGUGAGUGAUGAAGGCCUUAGGGUUGUAAAGCUCUUUUACCCGGGAUGAUAAUGACAGUACCGGGAGAAUAAGCUCCGGCUAACUCCGUG
RNAcentral lists this ribosomal RNA (433 nucleotides) under uncultured bacterium. RNAcentral describes it as "partial 16S ribosomal RNA". It matches the Rfam family "Bacterial small subunit ribosomal RNA", at positions 29 to 507 of the family's 1533-position model. The record is from RNAcentral.